This 61-nucleotide non-coding RNA is filed under the name uncultured Symbiodinium. The record is from RNAcentral. Lineage: Eukaryota; Dinophyceae; Suessiales; Symbiodiniaceae.
UUUUUUUUUUUUUUUUUUCAUAAUUUGUUUUGCAAAGACGCGAAGGGAAGGCAUGAGAUUU